This 465-nucleotide ribosomal RNA is filed under the name Vreelandella stevensii. RNAcentral describes it as "partial 16S ribosomal RNA". It matches the Rfam family "Bacterial small subunit ribosomal RNA", at positions 338 to 795 of the family's 1533-position model. Lineage: Bacteria; Pseudomonadati; Pseudomonadota; Gammaproteobacteria; Oceanospirillales; Halomonadaceae. The record is from RNAcentral.
CCUACGGGGGGCAGCAGUGGGGAAUAUUGGACAAUGGGCGAAAGCCUGAUCCAGCCAUGCCGCGUGUGUGAAGAAGGCCUUCGGGUUGUAAAGCACUUUCAGUGGGGAAGAAAGCCUUGGGGCUAAUACCCUCGAGGAAGGACAUCACCCACAGAAGAAGCACCGGCUAACUCCGUGCCAGCAGCCGCGGUAAUACGGAGGGUGCGAGCGUUAAUCGGAAUUACUGGGCGUAAAGCGCGCGUAGGCGGUCUGAUAAGCCGGUUGUGAAAGCCCCGGGCUCAACCUGGGAACGGCAUCCGGAACUGUCAGGCUAGAGUGCAGGAGAGGAAGGUGGAAUUCCCGGUGUAGCGGUGAAAUGCGUAGAGAUCGGGAGGAAUACCAGUGGCGAAGGCGGCCUUCUGGACUGACACUGACGCUGAGGUGCGAAAGCGUGGGUAGCAAACAGGAUUAGAUACCCUGGUAGUC